GAUGAACGCUGGCGGCGUGCUUAACACAUGCAAGUCGAACGAUGAAGCCCAGCUUGCUGGGUGGAUUAGUGGCGAACGGGUGAGUAACACGUGAGUAACCUGCCCUUGACUCUGGGAUAAGCCCGGGAAACUGGGUCUAAUACCGGAUAGGAGCGCCUGUCGCAUGACGGGUGUUGGAAAGAUUUUUCGGUCAUGGAUGGACUCGCGGCCUAUCAGCUUGUUGGUGAGGUAAUGGCUCACCAAGGCGACGACGGGUAGCCGGCCUGAGAGGGUGACCGGCCACACUGGGACUGAGACACGGCCCAGACUCCUACGGGAGGCAGCAGUGGGGAAUAUUGCACAAUGGGCGGAAGCCUGAUGCAGCGACGCCGCGUGAGGGAUGACGGCCUUCGGGUUGUAAACCUCUUUCAGUAGGGAAGAAGCGAAAGUGACGUACCUGCAGA
Molecule: ribosomal RNA, 443 nt
Filed under: Micrococcus sp. oral taxon F54
Lineage: Bacteria; Bacillati; Actinomycetota; Actinomycetes; Micrococcales; Micrococcaceae
Description: bacterial SSU rRNA
Rfam family: Bacterial small subunit ribosomal RNA
Source: RNAcentral